RNAcentral lists this ribosomal RNA (520 nucleotides) under uncultured Glomus. RNAcentral describes it as "SSU rRNA". It matches the Rfam family "Eukaryotic small subunit ribosomal RNA", at positions 569 to 1091 of the family's 1831-position model. The record is from RNAcentral. Lineage: Eukaryota; Fungi; Glomeromycota; Glomeromycetes; Glomerales; Glomeraceae.
AGCAGCCGCGGUAAUUCCAGCUCCAAUAGCGUAUAUUAAAGUUGCUGCAGUUAAAAAGCUCGUAGUUGAAUUUCGGGACUAAUAUGUCGGUCGUGCCUCGGUACGUACUGGUAUUUUUGGUUUCUCCCUUCUGACGAACCUUGAUGUCAUUAAUUUGGUGUUACGGGUAGUUAGGACUGUUACUUUGAAAAAAUUAGAGUGUUUAAAGCAGGCAUUAGCUUGAAUACAUUAGCAUGGAAUAAUGAAAUAGGACGUUCGAUCCUAUUUUGUUGGUUUCUAGGAUCAACGUAAUGAUUAAUAGGGAUAGUUGGGGGCAUUAGUAUUCAAUUGUCAGAGGUGAAAUUCUUGGAUUUAUUGAAGACUAACUACUGCGAAAGCAUUUGCCAAGGAUGUUUUCAUUAAUCAAGAACGAAAGUUAGGGGAUCGAAGACGAUCAGAUACCGUCGUAGUCUUAACCAUAAACUAUGCCGACUAGGGAUCGGAUGAUGUUAAUUUUUUAAUGACUCAUUCGGCGCCUUAC